RNAcentral lists this ribosomal RNA (301 nucleotides) under uncultured bacterium. Its description in RNAcentral is "partial 16S ribosomal RNA". It matches the Rfam family "Bacterial small subunit ribosomal RNA", at positions 509 to 809 of the family's 1533-position model. The record is from RNAcentral.
CAGCCGCCGCGGUAAUACGUAGGGUGCGAGCGUUAAUCGGAAUUACUGGGCGUAAAGCGUGCGCAGGCGGUUUUGUAAGACAGGCGUGAAACCCCCGGGCUCAACCUGGGAAUGGCGCUUGUGACUGCAAAGCUAGAGUGCGGCAGAGGGGGAUGGAAUUCCGCGUGUAGCAGUGAAAUGCGUAGAUAUGCGGAGGAACACCGAUGGCGAAGGCAAUCCCCUGGGCCUGCACUGACGCUCAUGCACGAAAGCGUGGGGAGCAAACAGGAUUAGAUACCCGGGUAGUCCCUGUCUCUUAUAA